RNAcentral lists this ribosomal RNA (253 nucleotides) under uncultured bacterium. RNAcentral describes it as "partial 16S ribosomal RNA". It matches the Rfam family "Bacterial small subunit ribosomal RNA", at positions 524 to 776 of the family's 1533-position model. The record is from RNAcentral.
UACGUAGGGUGCAAGCGUUAAUCGGAAUUACUGGGCGUAAAGCGUGCGCAGGCGGCUAUGCAAGACAGAUGUGAAAUCCCCGGGCUCAACCUGGGAACUGCAUUUGUGACUGCAUGGCUAGAGUACGGUAGAGGGGGAUGGAAUUCCGCGUGUAGCAGUGAAAUGCGUAGAUAUGCGGAGGAACACCAGCGGCGAAGGCGGGUAGCUGGGCCAACACUGACGCUGAUGCGCGAAAGCUAGGGUAGCAAACGGG